UACGUAGGGACCAAGCGUUGUUCGGAUUUACUGGGCGUAAAGGGCGCGUAGGCAGCGAAUCAAGUCAGCUGUGAAAUCUCCGAGCUUAACUCGGAACGGUCAGCUGAUACUGUUUUGCUAGAGUGCAGAAAGGGCAACCGGAAUUCUUGGUGUAGCGGUGAAAUGCGUAGAUAUCAAGAGGAACACCUGAGGCGAAGGCGGGUUGCUAGGCUGACACUGACGCUGAAGCGCGAAAGCUAGGGUAGCAAACGGG
Molecule: ribosomal RNA, 253 nt
Filed under: uncultured bacterium
Lineage: Bacteria
Description: partial 16S ribosomal RNA
Rfam family: Bacterial small subunit ribosomal RNA
Source: RNAcentral